Leopardus geoffroyi (Geoffroy's cat) is the source of this 4806-nucleotide long non-coding RNA. RefSeq lists it as uncharacterized. The transcript has 2 exons. The record is from RefSeq and is a predicted model, not a curated record. NCBI's taxonomy places the organism in Eukaryota, Metazoa, Chordata, Mammalia, Carnivora, Felidae.
UUAACUGACUGAGCCACCCAGGCGCUCCUCUUUUUUGUUGUUAUUCUAACAAAUCAACUUUAUCAAGUCUUUCUUCAGCAUAAAAUUUCCUUCUGUGGAAACUCAGUAGUCUUUACAUUCUAAUCUGACCACUUGGUGUGACACUUAUUAAAUGAAACAGUAAUAAUAAGAACUAACAUUUGUGUGAUAUUAACAUAGUAAAUGCUUGGUAGACAGCAAUUCAGCAAGUGGGGUCAAGUGAACAAAUACACCUGAGAAUAGCUCAGACGCCAAUUGCUUACAGAAUACAGUGGGCAUUAGUCACUAUAUUUUAUGGAGAGAAUGAGAACUUUACCUAAUCCAGUGAGGUUAAAGGGUUGCUACUCUACUAUGAAACUGUCAUCUUAAGAUAUUUGGAGCCUUUGUGCUGUUUCAUACUUGAACUUGAGAGAUCUACGUUUAUAAUUUAUAAAUCUAAUACUUCUAUCAUCCACUGAACCUCUAUUUUUCAGGAAGUAUCAUUAAUACUAAAUAGUUUAGGGGGGGAAAUCACAUAACAAUUCUCAACAAGUCUUUAAUACCCAGAGAUUACAUUUUAUAGUAUCAGAUGAAUCCAAGUGUUACAUAAAUUAAACAUAGGACUUAACUCUCGAAGCAGUGUGAUUUGUUUUUCUGAUAUACUGUUACACUCUAUGGCUUGGCAGUUUGAAAGCAAAUGUGGAGAUCUAAUCUAUGGGAACAGAAAUCAGAAAAGUGGUGACCUGUGGGGUGGAGACAGGGUUGCCGGAAAGGGACUCAAGAGAAUCACCUUGGGUGGUAGAAACGGUCUAACUCCAGAUUAGGGUGUGCAUUCCACAGGGAUGGCUAUGUGACCUAGAUCCCCUCCCCCCGCCCCACUUCCGUGCCCCCUCCAGGGCUGUGGAUGCCCACUGCCUUUUCAGUUCACCCAUUCUUGCUACCUGCCUCCCGCCCUCUGCCAGAACUGUUCAUGAGUAACACGUCAGCAGCCACAGCAUGGCUUUCCCACAUGCAUAUCUGGCCAGAACAGGACAGGAACUGAAUCUGUGAUAAAAAUGUGUCUUAGAAAUUGACACUGACAUGAGCUGAGCCCCUAUAUGUGUUUUAAAACCAUCUGUUGGACUACUUCACGCUGAGGGUUGACAGAUCACAUUCCAUUUCUUCCAUUCUGCUCAGAAAAGUGGUGGGGCCAAGUAAGGACAAGGCAGUAACACAUCACUUGCCUACACGGGCUAAGCAUGCAUUUCAAAGAUAAAUACAAAAAUCUCCAACCAGUGCUGAAAAGCAUGCAUUUUCAUCCGAGACAGGCUGAUUACAGCCUCACCAGCAGGGCUGUGUGUUGAUCCCCAUUCAGUAACACUCUGGACGCCUUUGUUCCAGCAUUUCCCAGCAGUGAAAACAUAAUGGAAAAGAAACUGCCAAAUGACAGCUCUCGCGGCUGCUGCCGCUUUACCUCUUUUUCUAUAUAUGAAAAAUAAUCGUGAAGGGGGAAAAUAAAGUGAGGAGGGCUAUAAAAGAAGACGGAGGGCAACUAGAUCAAGCAAAUCUAGAUAAUCUGAAGUACAGGAGGCUUUUGCAAAUAUUUUGUGGUUCGCUCUUCUUUUUUAAGGAAAUGAGCAAUAAAACAAAAGUAAAGAGGGGGGAAAAGAUGUUCGUAGCGGCGACUGCUGCGAAGUGUGAAAUCAGCGUUUCAGCCUAAGCUUCACCUCCCAGUGGUGGACUGAGCUGUUCUUACGGAACAUCUGUGAAAACGGGUGUGAUUGAAGGGAAUACAUUCCCGACUGCCCUCAAGACUGUCUAAUAGUAAAACUGCACUUUUAGGAUGAUAAAGACACGUUCUAACCCCAUUUUAAAACAAUAAUCCUACAAGGACACACACACAUGAUAGGAGUCUUUAUAAAUCAACAAGCAAACAGUCCAUGUGGGCUCAAGCAUAGCUAGCAACGUCAUUGUGCUUCUCUUCUGCCAUUUUUCACGUUAGGGACGGGAUGCUCUGGUUAGGCCCCGUUCCCCUGUUUGCUUCCUCUUCGCCGUAGCCCUUGUUGUCAUGCGUGAGAAAGUCACACGUACACUCAAUGCAUCCAUUAUGGCCACCAGUGAAUUCUAAAUCAGUUCCGUUUAGAAAUAUAUUUUUUCAAAACAAGUCAACACGUUGCCAACAGGAAAGCCGUAUUUUAAUUUAGAAAGCAGACUAAAACACACAGACAGGGCAGAGGAGAUCUAUCGGACUCCCUCGUGCUCUGUGCUGUGAGGAUUGGGGGUGGAACUGUCACAGCGAGGAGGCUCUCAGAGAAGCAGAGAUGGGAUUCCAAGCCAGCACUAGCUCCCCUGGGGUCUGUUGUAAUCAGGAGAGAAAUGAUCUGUACUCAGUAGCCUGUAUUCAUUCUUUUGCAAGGGGCUGCCAAAGCGAACUUUCCUACGCUUUUGUGGAAAUACAGUACGAGUCUUUUCCCCCCACCGCUUUCAGCUGCUUUAGGACAAGGAGGGGGAAAAAAAAAAGCCCACUGCUGACAAACACUGCUUUGGGCAUUUGACACUGGCCUCUGAUCUAGUUACUCAGACAGUUCAAAAUAAACAAACUAGGUGUUUACAACAAAAGACAUUCAGCCCAUUCAAGUGCCAAGCCAGCCGGAUGGACAGUCUUCUCGAACAGAGCUGGGGAAUGUCUCUGCCAGGCCAGACCUGCGCUGAGACUUGAUUUCCCCCACAGACGUUAAUAAAUUAGGACACCGUUUCUGUGAAUUAAAGAAGUAAAGAAAACAGGGGGUUGGGAGUCCACAAAGUAAAAUCUAUACCAUGUGGAGUUUGAGUCAGGACGCUGCAGAUCGCUCAAGCUGGAGGCACACAGGGACGUCUCUUAGUUUUUCAUGGGUGGUUUCAUUACGGGACCCGCACAGAAAAAGCUUUCAUUUUCAUUUCUGCCCCAGGACCACGGCACCCAUCCAGUCUGUACGUCACAGAGAAAAGGACACAUCUUUAUCCUAUUAUGUAAAUUCAGCUGUUAAAAGUAUUCUAACGUUAUUCUCAAAGAGAGGAGGAAAACUGGGUGUCUCGGUGUCAUUUCUAUUUAUAGAAGAGAAUGGUUUUGUUCCCUUGACUUAAGUGUCUGUUUUAUUCCAUUUGAAAACAGUGCGUCUUAGGAAAGAACUCUUUGCCUCGGUUUCUUCUUUGUGAAAUGAAGUGUUUGCACUAUGAGACGGUUUGUUAAAAGCUUACUCAGUCUAUGAUUAAUGAAGGACCGCCUAUAAAUAGAAUAUGUAAUUUGCAGCAUGUUUUUCUAGUAGGGGACGCCUGGGCUCUUUUUAAUAAUAUUUUAUGAUGUUUAGAAAAGCAGGCACCGUCUCAGCAACUGUGCCCAGCAGCAGUGGGCUUUGAGGUCUGCUAUGUCAUGUAAGGCGUGACAUAUGGAACGUGCCGGAAAGUGUUGCCCUAAAAUCACAUUUCAUUUUCAGCAAGCAGUGGGGAGUGGGAAAGGGAAAGUGAGUGGAGGAAAAGAAAGAAAUCUGUUAGCACAGAUCCAAAUAUCCCCUAGAAUCGAAAUGUCAGACUUGAAAAUACCAAGUGAACCAGCUUGUCUAAUAUGUUACCAUCCUGGCUUAUAAUUACCGGAAAGUAGUUAUUUAUCUGUUGUGUUCAGCUACCCUGUCAGUACUCCUGAGUUUAAUUAUCAGACUUCACUGAAAGUUCAAUUUCCUCGGUUCCCUCCUCUUUUUGCAACAAAAUACAUCGGAAUUUCUUCAUGGUUUCUGUUAACUGUUUUGGCACACCUUCUCUCACAUCCCCCCUUCCCCCACCAGCGGGCGGCCUGCUCCCUCCUUUCUCAAAGGAGGCAGCUGUUUGGCGCAGUUUCAAUCUCCACAAGCGUGACUGCUUGGUAUAUCAAAGUUCAGAGCCUCUUGUCCAUCAACUCGGCGAGAAGGAGAAGCCUCUCCAAGAGGCUGUUUGCUAGCUAGCUUCAGCUCCAUGGAACAUAAGGGCUUCAAGCGUCUGCCUGUGGUGGUCCAGCCCAGCCAGGGAAUUCUAAGCCACUCCAAAUAAGGGGCCCCUGGAAGUAAAACAAACAGUUCUUACCAUGCCCUCCCCUCUUCUCCUCCAGGGCAAGGGAUCCUUCCCGUGAAAAGGAUCUUGUUCUGGGUGUGAGUCUUCCAUGAAGUCCGUUUGUAGAAACAGCCUUGACUGUGAGACACAAGAGCUGGUGGUGAGACCGAAUCCAGCCCUGAGGAGAAACGUGGUUACUUGGGGCAAGCUAUCAUUACAAGGUCUGCUGAGAAUCUGAACUCACCUUGUGGAAAGCAUCCUACAUAGAAGUAAAUAAUCAGACGAUAGCGAUGUUUGUUGAUGUUUAUUUGUAGUUGGGCUCCACAGCAACUGAAAUCUUCUCUUAGUCGGUUUCUCGGAAUCUGAGGUAUGAUCUUCUCCAUCACCAAAGGCUAGUGGCAGUCAAUGAGCAUAGACUUUGAAAUCCCAGCUCUGCCACUGACCAUCUCUGGGACCUUGGACAAAUCACCUGACUCUUGUCAUGGCCUCGGUAUUCUCCAGAGAGCGAAAUAAAUAAAAGGUCCAACCUUGUGGGGAUGUUAGAUAUCAUAAUAUAUAAAUGUAUUAUAUGCUGGAUAUUUAGAACAGUGUCUGACACAUAGUAAAUGCUAGGAAGGGUCAGAUACAGCUACUAUUAUUAUUAUUAUUAUUAUUAUUAUUAUUAUUAUAGAGUAUUUCGUUUUCUGUACUGUUUCCCCUUCCCCAUAAUUCCUGGCAUAUUGCCUUAAUUUAUUCAGAGUAAGCUUUCAAUAAAUACAGAUUGAUUAAUAA